RNAcentral lists this ribosomal RNA (707 nucleotides) under Massilia sp. N24-1(2010). RNAcentral's name for it is "bacterial SSU rRNA". It matches the Rfam family "Bacterial small subunit ribosomal RNA", at positions 64 to 768 of the family's 1533-position model. Lineage: Bacteria; Pseudomonadati; Pseudomonadota; Betaproteobacteria; Burkholderiales; Oxalobacteraceae. The record is from RNAcentral.
GAACGGCAGCGCGGGGCAACCUGGCGGCGAGUGGCGAACGGGUGAGUAAUAUAUCGGAACGUACCCAAGAGUGGGGGAUAACGUAGCGAAAGUUACGCUAAUACCGCAUACGAUCUAAGGAUGAAAGCAGGGGACCGCAAGGCCUUGUGCUCCUGGAGCGGCCGAUAUCUGAUUAGCUAGUUGGUGAGGUAAAGGCUCACCAAGGCGACGAUCAGUAGCUGGUCUGAGAGGACGACCAGCCACACUGGAACUGAGACACGGUCCAGACUCCUACGGGAGGCAGCAGUGGGGAAUUUUGGACAAUGGGCGCAAGCCUGAUCCAGCAAUGCCGCGUGAGUGAAGAAGGCCUUCGGGUUGUAAAGCUCUUUUGUCAGGGAAGAAACGGCAGUGGCUAAUAUCCAUUGCUAAUGACGGUACCUGAAGAAUAAGCACCGGCUAACUACGUGCCAGCAGCCGCGGUAAUACGUAGGGUGCAAGCGUUAAUCGGAAUUACUGGGCGUAAAGCGUGCGCAGGCGGUUUUGUAAGUCUGUCGUGAAAGCCCCGGGCUCAACCUGGGAAUUGCGAUGGAGACUGCAAGGCUUGAAUCUGGCAGAGGGGGGUAGAAUUCCACGUGUAGCAGUGAAAUGCGUAGAGAUGUGGAGGAACACCGAUGGCGAAGGCAGCCCCCUGGGUCAAGAUUGACGCUCAUGCACGAAAGCGUGGGGAG